Molecule: unclassified non-coding RNA, 952 nt
Filed under: Hevea brasiliensis (rubber tree)
Lineage: Eukaryota; Viridiplantae; Streptophyta; Magnoliopsida; Malpighiales; Euphorbiaceae
Source: RNAcentral
CAUUUCCACCGUGAGAGUGAGCCCCACGGUCCGAAAAUCGCACGUAACACUUGGCCAAGAACAAGUCACCCGAAGCGGCGGGCCCACAGUCCGUUUUCAGUCGUCCGAUCGCGUCCGAUAAGCAAUCCUGGCACUCAUUCGCACUUAAAUCCUGUACACACUGUGCCACACCGUAGAUGUCGCCGGACCCACCCACCCUGUAAGGCUUGUAGGACCCAUCGCUGGCUCCCAAGUACCCCAACAAGGCAUCGCGCCUGGUCAACGAGUCGGAUUCAUACCCGAUCGACGGCCCACAUUUCUUCAGCACCACGGUCUUGUCCUCCACACCCAAAAAACUGAUAUUAUCAUACUUAACGAAACAACCAUCGAGCUGCAGCGCGCCACCGCACGAGUCAAUGCAGAGAGUGCCGAGUUGACUCACUGCGCUAGCGACACAGCGAGCACAGUCACCAUUGGAAAGGUCUCCGCGGCACUGGAAGAGGCCAUAGAGGGUGUCCUGUGAGGAGGAAGGACUUUGGAUGGUGAAGUUGUUGUAGUUGGUGAGGGUGGCUGAGUUAACCAGGGAGGUGAGUAGCGAGUUGACAUUAGAUUCGUAAGGAGAACCCGAGAUGUAUUUGAGCUGUGAACAUCCACCGAAAAUGAAAGACUCGAGAGAGGAAGUUGAUGGGGUUGAAAGGAGGGAGAUUGUGAGAAGGGAAGCAAAAGCUAUGAUUGCAAGAGACAUGUUUGAUGAGUUCCUGACAGAGAGAUUGAAGGGUUUUCCUUGGUGGGAGGUUAAGAGUAUAACAAGAACAGAAGUGAUCGCUGGUGCUUUGUACAGUUUUUGAACGUCUGCGAAAGGUAGAGAGAGCGCUCUAGCAAAGCGGAGGGCUUUUGCUUUGAGGAGAAUUUACGUAACGAAUUGCAAGGGAGUUACUUGACCUAUGCAUACAUUAUUGCCCCCAUUUUUUUU